Molecule: ribosomal RNA, 744 nt
Filed under: uncultured bacterium
Lineage: Bacteria
Description: bacterial SSU rRNA
Rfam family: Bacterial small subunit ribosomal RNA
Source: RNAcentral
UGCCGGCGACCGGCGGACGGGUGAGUAGCACGUAUGCAACCUGCCCGUCUCAGGGGGAUAAUCGUCGGAAACGGCGUCUAAUACCCCGUAUGAAGCUGGACGGCAUCGUCUGGUUUUGAAAGAAUAUCGGAGACGGAUGGGCAUGCGGCGCAUUAGCUGGUUGGCGGGGUAACGGCCCACCAAGGCGACGAUGCGUAGGGGUUCUGAGAGGAAGGUCCCCCACACUGGUACUGAGACACGGACCAGACUCCUACGGGAGGCAGCAGUGAGGAAUAUUGGUCAAUGGGCGAGAGCCUGAACCAGCCAAGUCGCGUGAGGGAGUACUGCCCUAUGGGUUGUAAACCUCUUUUGUCGGGGAGCAAAAGCCGGACGUGUCCGGCUGUGAGAGUACCCGAAGAAAAAGCAUCGGCUAACUCCGUGCCAGCAGCCGCGGUAAUACGGAGGAUGCGAGCGUUAUCCGGAUUUAUUGGGUUUAAAGGGUGCGCAGGCGGAUUUUUAAGUCAGCGGUCAAAUCGUGGGGCUCAACCCCAUCCAGCCGUUGAAACUGGGGAUCUAGAGUGUGCGAGAGGUAUGCGGAAUGCGUGGUGUAGCGGUGAAAUGCAUAGAUAUCACGCAGAACCCCGAUUGCGAAGGCAGCAUACCGGUGCACAACUGACGCUCAGGCACGAAAGCGUGGGUAUCGAACAGGAUUAGAUACCCUGGUAGUCCACGCAGUAAACGAUGAAUGCUACCUGUUUGGCCUGA